Molecule: ribosomal RNA, 538 nt
Filed under: uncultured bacterium
Lineage: Bacteria
Description: partial 16S ribosomal RNA
Source: RNAcentral
GGAGUUAGCCGGUGCUUCUUCUGCGAGUAACGUCACAGAUGUAAGGUAUUAACUUACACCCUUUCCUCCUCGCUGAAAGUGCUUUACAACCCGAAGGCCUUCUUCACACACGCGGCAUGGCUGCAUCAGGGUUUCCCCCAUUGUGCAAUAUUCCCCACUGCUGCCUCCCGUAGGAGUCUGGGCCGUGUCUCAGUCCCAGUGUGGCUGAUCAUCCUCUCAGACCAGCUAGGGAUCGUCGCCUAGGUGAGCCUUUACCUCACCUACUAGCUAAUCCCACCUGGGCUUAUCCAUCAGCGCAAGGCCCGAAGGUCCCCUGCUUUCCCCCGUAGGGCGUAUGCGGUAUUAGCAGUCGUUUCCAACUGUUAUCCCCCACAAAUGGGCAAAUUCCCAGGCAUUACUCACCCGUCCGCCGCUCGUCAUCUUCAAAAGCAAGCUUUUGAAAUGUUACCGCUCGACUUGCAUGUGUUAGGCCUGCCGCCAGCGUUCAAUCUGAGCCAGUANANACAACUCGACUACGAGACGGCGUCGACGACGACGC